AUUUAAAUAGCUUAUAAAGAGUAUAAUAUUGAAGAUAUUAGGGAGAUUAUAUUAAUCUUUAGAUA
This 65-nucleotide transfer RNA is filed under the name Smerinthus planus. Its description in RNAcentral is "tRNA-Phe". The record is from RNAcentral. Lineage: Eukaryota; Metazoa; Arthropoda; Insecta; Lepidoptera; Sphingidae.